CCUACGGGAGGCAGCAGUGGGGAAUAUUGGACAAUGGGCGAAAGCCUGAUCCAGCAAUGCCGCGUGAGUGAUGAAGGCCUUCGGGUCGUAAAGCUCUUUUACCAGGGAUGAUAAUGACAGUACCUGGAGAAUAAGCUCCGGCUAACUCCGUGCUAGCAGCCGCGGUAAUACGGAGGGAGCUAGCGUUGUUCGGAAUUACUGGGCGUAAAGAGUACGUAGGCGGUUAUUCAAGUCAGAGGUGAAAGCCCGGGGCUCAACCCCGGAACUGCCUUUGAAACUAGAUAACUAGAGUCUUGGAGAGGUUAGUGGAAUUCCGAGUGUAGAGGUGAAAUUCGUAGAUAUUCGGAAGAACACCAGUGGCGAAGGCGACUAACUGGACAAGUACUGACGCUGAGGUACGAAAGCGUGGGGAGCAAACAGGAUUAGAUACCCUGGUAGUCCACGCCGUAAACGAUGAUAACUAGUUGUUCGGUCACUUGGUGACUGAGUGACGCAGCUAACGCAUUAAGUUAUCCGCCUGGGGAGUACGGUCGCAAGAUUAAAACUCAAAGGAAUUGACGGCUGAGANGCGAGNGACACAGGAGAG
This 586-nucleotide ribosomal RNA is filed under the name uncultured bacterium. RNAcentral describes it as "bacterial SSU rRNA". It matches the Rfam family "Bacterial small subunit ribosomal RNA", at positions 338 to 942 of the family's 1533-position model. The record is from RNAcentral.